RNAcentral lists this small nucleolar RNA (199 nucleotides) under Jaculus jaculus (lesser Egyptian jerboa). Its description in RNAcentral is "Small nucleolar RNA U3 (ENSJJAG00000005931.1)". It matches the Rfam family "Small nucleolar RNA U3". Rfam says of the family: Small nucleolar RNAs (snoRNAs) are involved in the processing and modification of rRNA in the nucleolus. Lineage: Eukaryota; Metazoa; Chordata; Mammalia; Rodentia; Dipodidae. The record is from RNAcentral.
AAGACUAUACUUUCAGGGAUCAUGUCUGUGGUGUGUUACUAGAGAAGAUUCUCUGACUGUGCACAAGGAGGAGGUGUAGUGUUCUCUCCUGAGUAUGAAGCUGGCUCUUGGUGUUGCUUUGCUGCAACUGCCACUUGCCAUUGAUGAUCCUUCCUGCUUUUCUACCAGGAGCUGGAGAGAGAGGCUGCAGUCAAGUGGG